CCUGCAGCCCAACGGUGGCGCUCAUUGGCCCGGGCCUCGCCGUUGGCCACGCCCCUAGGGGGAGCUAGUCCAAAUGGGGAGGGUCACAUCCUCCCUGCGGCCUCGCCCCGGCGUCUCUGCGCCGUCUGGCCGCGCUGGCUGGUUACGGCAGAGGCCGCGGGGGACCCUCGCCAUGCCACCGGUGGUCGUCCUGCGGGGUUACAGAGGCCGCGACAAAGGAUGUAGCAGAGAGUGUAAGGGGAGGUUGCCUUUGCAUCCCGGAAGGUUUCCUGUUCUUUUGAGACAAAGAAACUGAGGCAACAGUUAAAGCAGGGAAGCGCCUGACAAAGUUCAAGUUUGUGAGUGCUUUCUCCCUGGUGUCACCUGUAUUUUAAGCCUCUUCAAACCCUGUUGGAAUGGAAAAGGGCAUUUCUAGGAGACCUGACUCCGAGAUCAUCCCCAGUUUCCCCAGUUAAGAAGAGGCAGGAAGCCAGGAUUGAUCCUAAUCAGAUCCUGGCUUGGAAGGAUGCUCUUCUCACUUUAGCAAAGACAGCUUCUACUUAUACUUUAGGACAUUGGCUUUCCACCUGCAAGUCCCCACAAAGAGAAAAUACCAGAGCGCAUCCAACAUAAGUAAAGAAAAGAGCAAGUCUUGGCUCCUGCACUUAAGAAGCUCUGAAUCUCGGGGUGAAGAGACGAACAUACCACUGGGGCACUAGGCCAGGGCUGAUGGUGGAAGAUGAACUAUGCUCCUCGUUCUAAUGGGGAAGAUAGAAUCCUGAAAUAAGAGAGACCACGUGACACCACUCCACUGCCAAAAGCAAGAAGGCAUACUGCAGAUCCCUGGGGGUCUGUGCUGCAACUCUCCUGCUGGAUCUUCCUGAGACACAGAACGGCAUCUUUACCUACCAUGGAUACGUUAGCACCACAGGACCUGCUGAGCUGUAGAGGCCAAGGAGCAGGGUAGUUUGCUUCAUACCCUGGAUCUACUGCAAAUCUCCUCUUGCUUUGUGCGUUAACUAGGAAAUAAAUGAAGCAAUGCUAUACUACCAAUGUGGUAUAUGAUGCCUCAAAAUCUGAGGAGUUCCAACAAGUUCUAUGCCUCUUUCUUAGUAAUAGGAGGUGCAGCAUCUUGUUCCAGGCGUGUUGCCCCCCUAAAACUUCACCAAUAGGGGCCAGCCCUGUGGUGGAGUGGUUAAGCUCAUGUGCUCCGCUUCGGUGGCCCAGGGUUUCACUGGUUCAGAUCCUGGGCGAGGACAUGGCACCCCUGGUCAGGCCAUGUUGAGGUGGCG
This 1271-nucleotide long non-coding RNA is filed under the name Equus asinus (donkey). Its description in RNAcentral is "lncRNA (ENSEASG00005023577.1)". The record is from RNAcentral. Lineage: Eukaryota; Metazoa; Chordata; Mammalia; Perissodactyla; Equidae.